AAACAGCCUGCGAGAAGGAUUUUUUUGGUCAAAUAAACGACGUGGGGAGGGGAAGUCAUUUGUCUUGAAUUCCAAUCUCAAAACACCAUCAUCACAUGUAGCUUAGACCUUAAGCAGUUGCAUUUCAUGGCAUAAAGGUGACAAUGUCUUAAGUCAGAGAACAACGUUCUAGAUCCAGUUUUUCUACAUUCUGCCAAUGAAGGAACUACACCACAACCACGGAGCAUCCCCCCCCCCCCUUGGCAACUGAUGGCUGACUCAGAUAACCCUCAACAUUAAUUUUAUUUAUGUGAUUUUUUUUGGCCUUCAUACCAAUUUAGUAAAAUACAUUUUUUAUCCUAAUGAGGUUUAAUGUCAGACCUCUUGUAUCCCCUUGGUUUAUUUCAUUCCCUUCCAAAAUGGGAGAAUCUUUCCCUGUUUAGAUGAUUUCUCUGUCCUGAUAUCUUUGCAUUUCUAACACUUGUAGACUUCUGUGUUGUUCAGACCAAUAUUAAAGGAUUCAACCAGCA
Long non-coding RNA from Sphaerodactylus townsendi, 509 nucleotides. RefSeq lists it as uncharacterized. Lineage: Eukaryota; Metazoa; Chordata; Lepidosauria; Squamata; Sphaerodactylidae. The record is from RefSeq and is a predicted model, not a curated record. The transcript has 2 exons.